UACGUAGGGGGCUAGCGUUAUCCGGAAUUACUGGGCGUAAAGGGUGCGUAGGUGGUUUCUUAAGUCAGAGGUGAAAGGCUACGGCUCAACCGUAGUAAGCCUUUGAAACUGGGAAACUUGAGUGUCGGAGAGGAAAUCGGAAUUCCUAGUGUAGCGGUGAAAUGCGUAGAUAUUAGGAGGAACACCAGUGGCGAAGGCGGCUUUCUGGACGAUAACUGACGCUGAGGCGCGAAAGCGUGGGGAGCAAACAGGAUUAGAUACCCGGGUAGUCCCUGAGCGGGCUGGCAAGG
RNAcentral lists this ribosomal RNA (290 nucleotides) under uncultured prokaryote. RNAcentral's name for it is "partial 16S ribosomal RNA". It matches the Rfam family "Bacterial small subunit ribosomal RNA", at positions 524 to 820 of the family's 1533-position model. The record is from RNAcentral.